GACGAACGCUGGCGGCGUGCUUAACACAUGCAAGUCGAACGGAAAGGCCUGCUUUCCCUUGUGGAUUGCGGGUACUCGAGUGGCGAACGGGUGAGUAACACGUGAGUGAUCUGCCCCCAACUUGGGUAUAAGCCUGGGAAACUGGGUCUAAUUCCCGAUAGGACUGCAGGGUGGUGCCUGUGGUGGAAAACGAUUUUCUAGUAGUUGGGGAUGAGCUCGCGGCCUAUCAGCUUGUUGGUGGGGUAAUGGCCUACCAAGGCGGCGACGGGUAGCCGGCCUGAGAGGGUGGACGGCCACAUUGGGACUGAGAUACGGCCCAGACUCCUACGGGAGGCAGCAGUGGGGAAUAUUGCACAAUGGGCGGAAGCCUGAUGCAGCGACGCCGCGUGGGGGAUGACGGCCUUCGGGUUGUAAACUCCUUUCGACCGCGAGGAAGCCACCUGGUUGGAAGGGUGGUGACGGUAGUGGUAGAAGAAGCACCGGCUAACUACGUG
RNAcentral lists this ribosomal RNA (494 nucleotides) under uncultured bacterium. RNAcentral's name for it is "partial 16S ribosomal RNA". It matches the Rfam family "Bacterial small subunit ribosomal RNA", at positions 28 to 507 of the family's 1533-position model. The record is from RNAcentral.